This 365-nucleotide ribosomal RNA is filed under the name uncultured eukaryote. RNAcentral describes it as "partial 18S ribosomal RNA". It matches the Rfam family "Eukaryotic small subunit ribosomal RNA", at positions 592 to 976 of the family's 1831-position model. The record is from RNAcentral.
CAAUAGCGUAUAUUAAAGUUGUUGCGGUUAAAAAGCUCGUAGUCGGAUUUUGGCUGAGAACGAUCGGUCCGCCGUUAGGUGUGCACUGAUUGGUCUCAGCUUCCUGGUGAGGAGGUGUGCUUCACGGCCACUUAGUCACCGUGGUUACUUUGAAAAAAUUAGAGUGUUCAAAGCGGGCUUACGCUUGAAUAUAUUAGCAUGGAAUAACACCAUAGGACUCCUGUCCUAUUUCGUUGGUCUCGGGACGGGAGUAAUGAUUAAGAGGAACAGUUGGGGGCAUUCGUAUUUCAUUGUCAGAGGUGAAAUUCUUGGAUUUAUGAAAGACGAACUACUGCGAAAGCAUUUGCCAAGGAUGUUUUCAUUAA